GCAGUAGCCACGGUAAUACGAAGGGUGCAAGCGUUACUCGGAAUUACUGGGCGUAAAGCGUGCGUAGGUGGUGGUUUAAGUCCGUUGUGAAAGCUCUGGGCUCAACCUGGGAAUUGCAGUGGAUACUGGAUCACUAGAGUGUGGUAGAGGAUAGUGGAAUUUCCGGUGUAGCAGUGAAAUGCGUAGAGAUCGGAAGGAACAUCUGUGGCGAAGGCGACUAUCUGGGCCAACACUGACACUGAGGCACGAAAGCGUGGGGAGCAAACAGGAUUAGAUACCCCCGUAGUCCCUGUCUCUUAUAC
RNAcentral lists this ribosomal RNA (302 nucleotides) under uncultured bacterium. RNAcentral's name for it is "partial 16S ribosomal RNA". It matches the Rfam family "Bacterial small subunit ribosomal RNA", at positions 508 to 807 of the family's 1533-position model. The record is from RNAcentral.